GGCUCAGGAUGAACGCUAGCUACAGCUUAACACAUGCAAGUCGAGGGGCAGCAUUUCAGUUUGCUUGCAAACUGGAGAUGGCGACCGGCGCACGGGUGAGUAACACGUAUCCAACCUGCCGAUAACUCGGGGAUAGCCUUUCGAAAGAAAGAUUAAUACCCGAUGGUAUAAUCAGACCGCAUGGUCUUGUUAUUAAAGAAUUUCGGUUAUCGAUGGGGAUGCGUUCCAUUAGGCAGUUGGUGAGGUAACGGCUCACCAAACCUUCGAUGGAUAGGGGUUCUGAGAGGAAGGUCCCCCACAUUGGAACUGAGACACGGUCCAAACUCCUACGGGAGGCAGCAGUGAGGAAUAUUGGUCAAUGGGCGCAGGCCUGAACCAGCCAAGUAGCGUGAAGGAUGACUGCCCUAUGGGUUGUAAACUUCUUUUAUAUGGGAAUAAAGUUUUCCACGUGUGGAAUUUUGUAUGUACCAUAUGAAUAAGGAUCGGCUAACUCCGUGCCAGCAGCCGCGGUAAUACGGAGGAUCCGAGCGUUAUCCGGAUUUAUUGGGUUUAAAGGGAGCGUAGGUGGACAGUUAAGUCAGUUGUGAAAGUUUGCGGCUCAACCGUAAAAUUGCAGUUGAUACUGGCUGUCUUGAGUACAGUAGAGGUGGGCGGAAUUCGUGGUGUAGCGGUGAAAUGCUUAGAUAUCACGAAGAACUCCGAUUGCGAAGGCAGCUCACUGGACUGCAACUGACACUGAUGCUCGAAAGUGUGGGUAUCAAACAGGAUUAGAUACCCUGGUAGUCCACACAGUAAACGAUGAAUACUCGCUGUUUGCGAUAUACAGUAAGCGGCCAAGCGAAAGCAUUAAGUAUUCCACCUGGGGAGUACGCCGGCAACGGUGAAACUCAAAGGAAUUGACGGGGGCCCGCACAAGCGGAGGAACAUGUGGUUUAAUUCGAUGAUACGCGAGGAACCUUACCCGGGCUUAAAUUGCAUUUGAAUAUAUUGGAAACAGUAUAGUCGUAAGACAAAUGUGAGGGUGCUGCAUGGUUGUCGUCAGCUCGUGCCGUGAGGUGUCGGCUUAAGUGCCAUAACGAGCGCAACCCUUAUCUUUAGUUACUAACAGGUCAUGCUGAGGACUCUAGAGAGACUGCCGUCGUAAGAUGUGAGGAAGGUGGGGAUGACGUCAAAUCAGCACGGCCCUUACGUCCGGGGCUACACACGUGUUACAAUGGGGGGUACAGAAGGCAGCUACCUGGUGACAGGAUGCUAAUCCCAAAAGCCUCUCUCAGUUCGGAUCGAAGUCUGCAACCCGACUUCGUGAAGCUGGAUUCGCUAGUAAUCGCGCAUCAGCCAUGGCGCGGUGAAUACGUUCCCGGGCCUUGUACACACCGCCCGUCAAGCCAUGAAAGCCGGGGGUACCUGAAGUACGUAACCGCAAGGAGCGUCCUAGGGUAAAACUGGUAAU
RNAcentral lists this ribosomal RNA (1450 nucleotides) under uncultured bacterium. Its description in RNAcentral is "bacterial SSU rRNA". It matches the Rfam family "Bacterial small subunit ribosomal RNA". The record is from RNAcentral.